ACCCCACCAUUAUUAAGCCGGCCAUUUUUGCCUUUUAUCAUGGUCCAAUGGUGUGCUAGCUGUGGGAACAUUAUCCAUUUAGAUUUGUGUAUGAAGAGUCGCUUUUCUGUUGGCGAUUUUUCAAAGGAAUUUUCUAAGUACA
Bradysia coprophila is the source of this 142-nucleotide small nucleolar RNA. RefSeq annotates it as small nucleolar RNA snoR639/H1. NCBI's taxonomy places the organism in Eukaryota, Metazoa, Arthropoda, Insecta, Diptera, Sciaridae. The record is from RefSeq and is a predicted model, not a curated record.